Molecule: ribosomal RNA, 496 nt
Filed under: uncultured bacterium
Lineage: Bacteria
Description: partial 16S ribosomal RNA
Rfam family: Bacterial small subunit ribosomal RNA
Source: RNAcentral
AUGAACGCUGGCGGCGUGCCUAAUACAUGCCAGUCGAGCGAACAGACGAGGAGCUUGCUCCUCUGACGUUAGCGGCGGACGGGUGAGUAACACGUGGAUAACCUACCUAUAAGACUGGGAUAACUUCGGGAAACCGGAGCUAAUACCGGAUAAUAUAUUGAACCGCAUGGUUCAAUAGUGAAAGACGGUUUUGCUGUCACUUAUAGAUGGAUCCGCGCCGCAUUAGCUAGUUGGUAAGGUAACGGCUUACCAAGGCAACGAUGCGUAGCCGACCUGAGAGGGUGAUCGGCCACACCGGAACUGAGACACGGUCCAGACUCCUACGGGAGGCAGCAGUAGGGAAUCUUCCGCAAUGGGCGAAAGCUUGACGGAGCAACGCCGCGUGAGUGAUGAAGGUCUUCGGAUCGUAAAACUCUGUUAUUAGGGAAGAACAAAUGUGUAAGUAACUAUGCACGUCUUGACGGUACCUAAUCAGAAAGCCACGGCUAACUACGUG